GUCCAUGCCGUAAACGUUGGGAACUAGGUGUGGGUCUCAUUCCACGAGAUCCGUGCCGCAGCUAACGCAUUAAGUUCCCCGCCUGGGGAGUACGGCCGCAAGGCUAAAAACUCAAAAGGAAUUGACGGGGGCCCCGCACAAGCGGCGGAGCAUGCGGAUUAAUUCGAUGCAACGCGAAGAACCUUACCAAGGCUUGACAUACACCGGAAUCAUUCAGAGAUGGGUGAGUCUUCGGACUGGUGUACAGGUGGUGCAUGGUUGUCGU
RNAcentral lists this ribosomal RNA (265 nucleotides) under uncultured bacterium. RNAcentral's name for it is "partial 16S ribosomal RNA". It matches the Rfam family "Bacterial small subunit ribosomal RNA", at positions 793 to 1055 of the family's 1533-position model. The record is from RNAcentral.